GACAGAGGUGCCGAGCGUUAGGCGGAAUUACUGGGCGUAAAGCGUGCGUAGACGGCUAUCUAAGUCGGGUGUGAAAGCCCCGGGCUCAACCUGGGAAUUGCAUUCGAGACUGAAUAGCUAGGGUACGGUAGAGGGAAGCGGAAUUUCCGGUGUAGCGGUGAAAUGCGUAGAUAUCGGAAGGAACAUCAGUGGCGAAAGCGGCUUCCUGGACCAGUACCGACGUUCAGGCACGAAAGCGUGGGGAGCAAACAGG
Molecule: ribosomal RNA, 253 nt
Filed under: uncultured bacterium
Lineage: Bacteria
Description: partial 16S ribosomal RNA
Rfam family: Bacterial small subunit ribosomal RNA
Source: RNAcentral